UACCGCAUAAGCUCUAGGAGGAAAGCUGGGGACCGUAAGGCCUGGCGCUUCAAGAUUAGCCUGCGUCCGAUUAGCUAGUUGGUGGGGUUAAGGGGCCUACCAAGGCGACGAUCGGUAGCUGGUCUGAGAGGAUGGCCAGCCACACUGGGACUGAGACACGGCCCAGACUCCUACGGGAGGCAGCAGUGGGGAAUAUUGGACAAUGGGGCAACCCUGAUCCAGCAAUGCCGCGUGUGUGAAGAAGGCCUGAGGGUUGUAAAGCACUUUCAGUGGGAGGAGGAUUGACAGGUUAAGAGCUAGUUAAUUGGACGUUACCCACAGAAGAAGCACCGGCUAACUCCGUG
RNAcentral lists this ribosomal RNA (344 nucleotides) under uncultured bacterium. Its description in RNAcentral is "bacterial SSU rRNA". It matches the Rfam family "Bacterial small subunit ribosomal RNA", at positions 167 to 507 of the family's 1533-position model. The record is from RNAcentral.